This is a long non-coding RNA of Planococcus citri (citrus mealybug), 795 nucleotides long. RefSeq lists it as uncharacterized. Lineage: Eukaryota; Metazoa; Arthropoda; Insecta; Hemiptera; Pseudococcidae. The transcript is spliced from 3 exons. The record is from RefSeq and is a predicted model, not a curated record.
CCAGUUAAACGAAGGUAGAUGAACAUUAAAAAAUGAAGUACUUCACGUUGAGUCUAUUUCUUUAUUUUUUUAGGGCGAAUUCAUCGCCAAUCUAUACUACGAAUGCAAGUAGCACUUUAUCACCUUUCAGUAGGGAGAUGCUGAAGAUAGAAAGGGACUUGCUACUCCAGAACAAUAAGACUGCUGCAUUAAUGACUAUGUUAGCCCAUGAACGUUUAGAAUGGCGUGAAUGUAACAAAAUAAUUGGGGCAUUAGAAAAAGAGAGGGACGACGCAAUUGCAGAAGUUAAAAAAAUCAUCAUUCCACUAAACGUUUGCUCAUUUGGAACCAUAAUUGAGACCCUAUUUCUGGACAUUAUGACAGACAACACAACAACGAUACCUAAGGACACACCAGAGCGGAGUACAAAUCUAAUCCUGAGACAACUCAGGUGGCGCAAAAUUAUUACCGCUGGGCUAGAAAGAGACAACGAUUAUGUAAAAUUACUAGUCGAUGAAUUAGAUACAAAUUUCAAGAGAGAAAAUAACUUUACGACGAUUGAUAAGAAGAGCGAAAAAUACGAAGAUUACGUUUCGAAAUUCUGUUGGUCCAUUGUUCGAGCUAUUAAUCUUGUAAACAAAAUAAAUGCACUCGCUGCAGAUGGUGUCGGCAGAUUGGAUUCUACAAUAUUCGGCAACAUAGUGGAUAAGUACAUGGAAAUGUUUUACAAUGCAAUGGUGGGGUCACGUAAGGGCAAAUCAGACGUUGAGUGUACUUAGAUCAUGAGUUAGAUUAAAUUCUAGAUCACGUAUAUAG